This 946-nucleotide long non-coding RNA is filed under the name Capsicum annuum. Its description in RNAcentral is "long non-coding RNA (CANN_LNC018582)". Lineage: Eukaryota; Viridiplantae; Streptophyta; Magnoliopsida; Solanales; Solanaceae. The record is from RNAcentral.
CUCUUUUUAAUAAAAUUCAACUAAGCAUGCCACCUAAAUAAAAAAAAAAAUACGUGACCAUAUCACGUCACCAUCCACAUAUAAUUUUAUUUUUUAAUUAUAUGACAUUGUUUUCUUCUUCAAGUUCUGUUUUGCACCCUGUGAACAAUCUUCUGAAGGCGAUUAUGCUUUCCCGACGAAAAUGUUAGGCAGCACCCUAUCCAACCUUCGAAGCGCUGAGACUCUGAGAUAUAUAGAUCUUCCCAUAGGCGCUCCGCCCGAGUAUCACUAUGAUUUUGCUGAUUUGUGGAUGUGUUACAGUCGUCAACUUUUAUCAACUAAUGUAGGUACCUACUUUUUUUUUUUUUUUUUUUUUUUUUUUUUUUUUUUUUUUUUUUUUUGUGGCUGAAUUUGAAACAACCCCUUUACUCUUGACCUGACUCCUAUUGCCUUGUGUCAUUCAAUAUAAUUUAUCCAUGAAUUUUGAACUCACUGUUUUUUUUUUCCUUGAUAACCUUAAGCUUUUGCAUUGUCCUUGAAUAUGUUUUAGCUUGUGUAUUCGAAUUGCAUACAGUUUUGUGAUUCUCGUUGUCUAUGUAUGUAUGGUCGAUACUGCUCUGUGGUUACUUGGUUAUGUUUGCAUAUAAAAAAGAUUGCUUUAUUUUGCAUGUGGUUGGAAUUACUUGUGUUAUUUCCACUACGAUUUGUCUUGUUUCUUCCAGUUUGUAUAGGUUCCAUUACCAUUGGCUUAUUGUUACACGGCGUAUAGACCUUGAUACUUUUUGUUAUAAACCAAAUGGAAGGGAGAGUCCAACCCAAAAGACUAGUCUAACAGGUGGGAGAACCCUUAUAAUCCCCUUAGCAAUUCUCUAUUUUUCCAAUUGGUUCAUAACAAUCGCUUCCGCUUGAGAACCAAUGACCUCGUUGGUCACGGCUGAGCCCAGUCGGUCACGACUGACACCCCCCU